Molecule: RNA transcript, 1992 nt
Organism: Agrilus planipennis (emerald ash borer)
Lineage: Eukaryota; Metazoa; Arthropoda; Insecta; Coleoptera; Buprestidae
Gene: MESK2
Gene name: protein NDRG3
Exons: 10
Source: RefSeq, a predicted model, not a curated record
ACCAUAGAUAUCGCAGCCAGUCGGUAAAGAUAUUUGUUGGUAGUAGUAUUUCGCUAGAAGUAAUUCAGGUUUUAUUUGUGUGGUAGGUGACCAUAAGCAAAAAGAUUGGCUUUUGACAACUGAAGGACACCAGUAGCUAGUCUGUGUCCUUCAUAAUUGUCGGGAAUGCCAGGGAGUAUAGGAGGUUCUUACCAAUCCCUGCAAGAUGGUCGUUCAUCCGGGGACGUAUAUAGAGCAACUACUUUUAUUGGAAAAACUGGCACAACCUUAAAUCCUUCUGGGAUUUUAGAAGGUUUCAAGAAAGCCUUCAGCUUUACUUUUCCUGGUCCAAAAGAUGAAAAAUUAAUUGAAACUAAUACAUCUACAGUCAUAAGUGGAAGGAAGGAUAGCAUCAAUUCAAAAGAUAAAAUGCCAAUGUCUGGUGUGGCAGAAGAAACUGCCCUGUUGGGCACAAUGCCGUCGGACAGCAUGGACGAUAUUGAAUUGAAAAAUAUUCAACUACAUUUUCCAUCGAGUCGUUCCCUCUCAAGAGAAAAUUCUUCUAUUCAAGAGGAAGUAAUAGAAAUUGAUCGUGGCGUCGCUUUGACCGUGGCUAUUCAAGGCGUUCGAGGAAAGCCGGCCAUAAUAACAUACCACGAUUUAGGUUUAAAUUAUAUUUCCAGUUUUCAAGCCUUCUUUAAUUAUGUUGAUAUGAGAGCAUUGCUUGAAAACUUUUGCGUUUACCACGUUAACGCUCCUGGACAAGAGGAGGGGGCCCAGACGCUGCCAGAAGAUUACAUUUAUCCAUCAAUCGACGAACUGGCCAAUCAGUUGGAUUUUGUUUUGUCCCAUUUUGGAUUGAAACAAGUAAUAGGAUUUGGGGUAGGGGCUGGAGCAAACAUUUUAGCUCGAUAUGCUAUUAAUAACCCCACUAAGGUGUCUGCACUAUGUCUGAUAAACUGUGUAAGUACAGCAUCUGGAUGGAUAGAAUGGGGCUAUCAGAAAUUGAAUGCCAGACAUCUGAGAUCUAAAGGAAUGACUCAAGGUGUUCUUGACUACCUGAUGUGGCAUCAUUUUGGAAGGAAUACUGAAGAAAGAAACCAUGACUUAGUACAGGUGUACAAAAGCUAUUUCGAGAAACAUGUAAAUCCAACAAAUUUGGCUUUGCUCAUUGACAGCUACAUCCGACGAACUGAUUUAAAUAUUCAGAGAGAGAUGGAUCCUACAAAAAAAAGAGAUGCUAAUACUUUGCAAAUGCCAGUUUUGAAUAUAACAGGAGCUCUCAGUCCUCAUGCCGAUGACACGGUAACAUUAAAUGGUCGUCUAGAUCCUGCAACAUCAUCUUGGAUGAAGAUUUCAGAUUGCGGUAUGGUAUUAGAAGAGCAACCUGCCAAAGUCAGCGAAGCGUUCCGACUUUUCUUACAAGGAGAGGGUUACGCUGUACGAUUGGGUAUCAGGCGAUCCAGUAGUGCAGUAGAGGGUAAUUAGUAAUACUAUGUCAUCUCUGUAUCGCUCUUUAGUCCUGCGCACGUGAAAAGCAGAAAUAAUAUACUUUAUUUGCUCCUUUGUCUCCUAUAAAAAUGGCAAUGUUUCGAAAAGCUUCAGAAGAAGAGAUAGUCAAAACAAAACUGGAACCAAAAAUACAGGGUGUACAAUGGCCGGCAUCAAUUAUUAACAUCACAGAAAAUCCUAUAUCUGCCGUAGUCUGCUAAAGACAACCUAAUUGUUGCUUUUAUGCUUUUCAAAAGUAAUAUACUACACGAAAUGGUAAAGUAAAUUAACGCUAUGCAUAUUAUUACUGUUAUUAUUAUUCAAAAGGCAUGUGGCAUUAUACUGAUUAUUACAACAAUUUUAAUCAAAACUUAUUGUAAAUGCGCAAGUGAGUAUUGGACAAUCCUGAACAUCGGCUAAUUAUUACAUAUAUGAAUGCUAUUAUAAAAGAUUUAAACUUUGUACAUACAUUGUUUGGAUUAAUAUACAUGGUUAAAAUGAUACAGAAUUGUAAAACUACAA